CCCACCCACGGAGGGGGGCACCCGCCUGCGGGGCCGUUUCCGAGGGCUGCAGGCAGAUGGUGCGGGUGUGCGUGUGCUCGGGGCCUCGGACCAGCCCUGCUCCCGGGCCCAGCCGCAACAGGAGAAUGGGGACAUGAGGACAGCAGGGAGCCCGGGGCCCGGGCUCUCGAGAAGGACGCUGGCAGCACCAGCCGGCUGUGGCCCAUCCCACAGCAGGGUCUGCCUCUGCCAACUUGAGCAGAGAACACGCACUUCUCAGGGUCGGCAAGUCUACUCUCGGGUUCACUGAGACAGAAACGCUGCAGGGGCACGCGGGCUUGUGACAAAAGGAAAGCCGGCACCAGGCAGGACUCCCAAGACCUCAGGGGCAGCCCAGAAACACAGGCACCAGGCAGAGAAAUCUACGGGGCACCACCUCCAAGGUCUGUAAGCACAGCAGGGCAGGAGAAGACCGGGCGGCCCUAACGGAACCUCGCCACCCUCCCAGAAGCCCGGGCAGGCAGAGUGAGGAAGCAGAACUGGGCCCCAGAGGUAUGGCCGCUUGGUCCACAGACCUCUCGGCAAAGGUCGUGGAACGGGCACAAUGGAGGAGACAGACCGGACAAGUGCCGUCCGGGAGCUGGGGUGCGGAGGCGAGUCCGCGGGCCCGGCCCAGGGUGAAGCCGUAGCAGUACCCUCCACAGCCAACCCGGAGCUUGAACUCGUGACCCCAACACUGGGGGUCACACACUCUUCCCACGGAGCCGACCUGGGGUACCAACCUCGUGAGGUUCACAAGUGAAGAGUCCGCACCGGCGCCGGCAGCUGCGGGACAGAGAACCGGGCCCCGCGCGGCGCUCCAGGCCCCGAGCUCGAGCCCCGCACAAGCAAACCACCGCUGUGUGCAGGAAGCUCCUGGGCCGCGCUCACGCCCAGACAGGAGCACAGAAGCUACAUAAAGGCUGAGCCAACCAAGCCCGACGUGCCCAGAAAGAGAUGACACACAAACACAGCGCGGGCGAGCACUCCGGAACCCCGAGUUCAUCACCGGGAGCCGGCAGAGCGGCGCCCGAGCGGCGGGGUCGGCUGAGCGGCUGCCUCCGGCGCGGGUCCUGACCCGGGCUCCCGCACCGGGCUCCCGCACCGGGCUUCCUCCUCUGCGGGGCGCCUGCUUAUUGCUUCUCCCGCUCCCUCCAUCCCUGACUUGGCUCCUUCUCCCUCUCACAUCAAUAAACUCUUUAAAA
This is a long non-coding RNA of Mustela erminea (ermine), 1223 nucleotides long. RefSeq lists it as uncharacterized. NCBI's taxonomy places the organism in Eukaryota, Metazoa, Chordata, Mammalia, Carnivora, Mustelidae. The transcript has 4 exons. The record is from RefSeq and is a predicted model, not a curated record.